UACAGAGGUCCCAAGCGUUGUUCGGAUUCACUGGGCGUAAAGGGUGCGUAGGCGGUCGGGUAAGUCUGAUGUGAAAUCUCACAGCUUAACUGUGAAACUGCAUUGGAUACUAUCCGGCUAGAGGAAUGGAGGGGAGACUGGAAUACUUGGUGUAGCAGUGAAAUGCGUAGAUAUCAAGUGGAACACCAGUGGCGAAGGCGAGUCUCUGGACAUUUCCUGACGCUGAGGCGCGAAAGCGUGGGGAGCGAACAGG
This 253-nucleotide ribosomal RNA is filed under the name uncultured bacterium. RNAcentral describes it as "partial 16S ribosomal RNA". It matches the Rfam family "Bacterial small subunit ribosomal RNA", at positions 524 to 776 of the family's 1533-position model. The record is from RNAcentral.